GACAGAGGGUGCAAACGUUGUUCGGAAUUACUGGGCGUAAAGCGCGUGUAGGCGGUCGGGCAAGUCGGAUGUGAAAGCCCCGGGCUCAACCCGGGAAGUGCAUUCGAUACUGCUUGGCUAGAGUACUGGAGAGGAUGGUGGAACUCUCGGUGUAGAGGUGAAAUUCGUAGAUAUCGAGAAGAACACCGGCGGCGAAGGCGGCCAUCUGGACAGAUACUGACGCUGAGGCGCGAAAGCUAGGGGAGCAAACGGG
This 253-nucleotide ribosomal RNA is filed under the name uncultured bacterium. RNAcentral's name for it is "partial 16S ribosomal RNA". It matches the Rfam family "Bacterial small subunit ribosomal RNA", at positions 524 to 776 of the family's 1533-position model. The record is from RNAcentral.